Molecule: ribosomal RNA, 229 nt
Filed under: uncultured bacterium
Lineage: Bacteria
Description: partial 16S ribosomal RNA
Rfam family: Bacterial small subunit ribosomal RNA
Source: RNAcentral
UGAGCGACCUUGCCUCGUGGUGGGGGAUAGCCGGCCCAACGGCCGGGUAAUACCGCAUAGGGUAGUUUCUUCGCAUGGGGAGACUAGCAAAGCCCUGGAGUAAUCCAGUGGCGCCACAGGGGGGCUCGCGGCCUAUCAGCUAGUUGGGGGGGUAAUGGCCCACCAAGGCGACGACGGGUAGCUGGUCUGAGAGGAUGGCCAGCCACAUUGGGACUGAGAGACGGCCCAG